AAUAAGAUGCCUGAAAAAAGGUUUAUUUUGAUAGAAUAAAAAAUGUACUAAGUACUCUUAUUA
This 63-nucleotide transfer RNA is filed under the name Ceratocombus sp. HL-2012. RNAcentral's name for it is "tRNA-Ile". Lineage: Eukaryota; Metazoa; Arthropoda; Insecta; Hemiptera; Ceratocombidae. The record is from RNAcentral.